UACGGGGGGGGCAAGCGUUAUUCGGAAUCAUUGGGCGUAAAGGGCGCGUAGGCGGUCUUUUAAGUCAGAUGUGAAAGCCCUCGGCUUAACCGAGGAAGUGCAUUUGAUACUAAGAGACUUGAGUAUGGGAGAGGGAAGCGGAAUUCCUGGUGUAGCGGUGAAAUGCGUAGAGAUCAGGAGGAACACCGGUGGCGAAGGCGGCUUCCUGGACCAAUACUGACGCUGAGGCGCGAAGGCGUGGGGAGCAAACAGG
This 253-nucleotide ribosomal RNA is filed under the name uncultured bacterium. RNAcentral's name for it is "partial 16S ribosomal RNA". It matches the Rfam family "Bacterial small subunit ribosomal RNA", at positions 524 to 776 of the family's 1533-position model. The record is from RNAcentral.